This 391-nucleotide ribosomal RNA is filed under the name uncultured Acidobacteriota bacterium. RNAcentral describes it as "bacterial SSU rRNA". It matches the Rfam family "Bacterial small subunit ribosomal RNA", at positions 17 to 422 of the family's 1533-position model. Lineage: Bacteria; Pseudomonadati; Acidobacteriota. The record is from RNAcentral.
UCCUGGCUCAGAAUCAACGCUGGCGGCGUGCCUAACACAUGCAAGUCGCACGAGAAAGGGUAGCAAUACCUGAGUAAAGUGGCGCACGGGUGAGUAACACGUGACUAACCUACCUCCGAGUGGGGAAUAACUUCGGGAAACCGAGGCUAAUACCGCAUAACACUUACGAGUCAAAGCAGCAAUGCGCUUGGAGAGGGGGUCGCGGCAGAUUAGCUAGUUGGCGGGGUAAUGGCCCACCAAGGCGAUGAUCUGUAUCCGGCCUGAGAGGGCGCACGGACACACUGGAACUGAAACACGGUCCAGACUCCUACGGGAGGCAGCAGUGGGGAAUUUUGCGCAAUGGGGGAAACCCUGACGCAGCAACGCCGCGUGGAGGAUGAAGUCUCUUGGG